GCCAGCAGCUAGCUCUCUAAAACUCUCACAUGGUCACUCACUGAAGCUAAGCAGGGCUGCGCCCGAUCAGUAGCUGAAUGGGAGACCACAUGGGAAAGCUAGGUUGCUGCUGGAA
This is a ribosomal RNA of Danio rerio (zebrafish), 115 nucleotides long. The record is from Ensembl. NCBI's taxonomy places the organism in Eukaryota, Metazoa, Chordata, Actinopteri, Cypriniformes, Danionidae.